AUCUCUAUCUCUCACGCACGCACUCCCCCAUCUCCUCUGGUUCUCCGUCUGCCUCCUUACUCUCCCCGUGUCCUCUUCUUUCCACUCCGCCUGCAGGACGAGCAGAGGCUGCCGCCGCACAGAUGGAGGCGCCUCUCCCUUCCUCCACGCUAGCCCUUUCCCUUCCUCUCUCUUUCCUGCGCAUGGAGCAGCAGCAGGGGGGCCGAAUCCGGCGGCCACGACCCAGCCUGCCACCGCCACCGUGCCCCUACACGGCCUCCUCCGCGGGAGGGCUCCUCCGCUCGUCCUCGCCGCCGGACCCCGCACAGCCUCCUCCGGGGGACCGGUCACAGCCGGAUCGGGCCGCCGCGGGUCCGAGCAUCGCCAGAUCCGGUCGCCAUGGUGCUCCUGCCCCCGAUCCUAGCCGCCGGCCGCCACCCCCGACCCAAGCCCCGGCCGCCGCCCCCGGUUCGUCUCUCUCUCUCUCUCUCUCUGCCUCUGAGUUCUCUCUCUACAGAUCGAGAAGGGGCGGCCGUACGUGGAGAGGAGAGCCCGUCUCCUCAUCGGCGCUGAACAAGGUGGAUGGCCGGCGCCGUCAUGGACAUUUGCAGUCGAUGGCGCGGUCGAGGUGGUGCCCCAGGAGGAUUUGGGGUCGGAGAUUUUUUUUCCUCAAAAAUGGCAUCAGUGUCGGUCGUUUGAGUGUUAGUACCGGGCGUUGCCCAGGUGCCCUGCCCGCCAGUGAUAGUGUUUUUAGCCCGUUAGUGUUUUUGCUCCAGCUAGCUAGGAAUCCUAAUAUUCCAAGAGUAACAAAAUCCACUGGGGGAAACGAGGGGAAUCAACUUUUGAUUUGGUAAAACCCUAAGUCGAUUUCUUCUCAACCCUUCCUCAAAAUAUUAGCUUCGAGGAUGAACUAGGGAGAGAGAUCUCGACAUUUGAAGCUUAGAAAUGGUGAAGAACAAUGGUAAGUCGGGAUGGGAGCCGUUGGGAUGAAGACCCCCUUUUAUAGCAGUUCCUGAUUUCUGCCCGUUAUGUGCAUUUUCUGCACUGGGCGGUACUACUGCCAGACCAGGCGGUACUAUCGUCGCGGUAGUACUGCACUAGUACCGUAUCAGUGCCACACGAGGUCAGUAGCAUUUUGCUACCUCCUAGCACUGGUGCGGUAUGAGGGCGGUACUACUGGCCCCGGUACUGCCGCGCACCCUGGGCCGAGCGGUACUGCCGCCCUGGAAAGAACACAGUCAGAACCUCUUUGGCUCAAAAUUUGGUUUCGCUAAUCUUCACCGAUGGGUUUUGGAGGCUAUUUAGUGGGUGCAAUCUGCUAGUUGUGUACGUGAAGUUGAUUUACCCUAGCCUUUCCAAAAUGGACUCCCUCUUUAUAGUACGGACUUUCCUACGACUCAAUAAAAUAAAAAGCCGUAAAUUUUUCUACGCUUCUUUCCAUUUUGAGGGCAACGAACCGCAUCACUUGAUUCUAUAUAAUUUCUGAACAUGCUUAGCGCACGGUUAGUCCACAUGUCAUGUUGUCAUUAACAUCAAAACUCAUUAGGGAUCGAAAUGCCCUUUCAGGAGGAAAAGAGAGAAAAAUGAGAGAGAGAGAAAGAGAUAGAAUUGCCAACUGCAGUCUCCAUUGUUAAUAAGUGGGUUCCUGAAAAUUUCCAGACCACCGAAACAACGAGAAAACUCCCACCCAAUGACCCUUGCCUGACGUGGCAGUCGUCAACUUGCCAUCUCGUCGGUCAGCAACGGCUCGGCCUCAUUUAGGAUUGCGGUGAACAACUUAAAAGAAUUAUGAUCUAAAUAUGCACUUUUGAAGAACUAGGACUCACUUUACACACCUCCAAUAGUUAUAGGACAUGCGGUGUGUCGGUGCCUGGACCUCCGACACCGGAGAUCUUUAGAACCCCUUUUUUCAUGAGGGGUGAGGGAGCUGUGUCGGUAGGAUCAAACAAACAACUCUCAAGAACACACACGCGAUUUACCCAGGUUCGGGCCGCCGAAGCGUAAUACCCUACGUCCUGCUUAUCUGGAUUGCUGGAGCAACACACGGGAUACAUGGUCCCGGGGGCACACACCCGCUCCUGGGGAUUCUCACUCUCGCUGGAGUCGAGCUCUCCUCGUGUGUCUGUCCUUGCUGUUCGUGACCCUUUUUCUAGUGCCACUGGUCCUCCUUUUAUACUACAAGGGGAUACCACAAGGUUGGGCUGCAUGCGAGCCGCGUGCUGCGGAUACGUGGCGUGUGCGGUACCGGCCCUGGCGUGGUCUUCAGACCUUUUCCUGCACGUGUCUAUCCUCCUCCUGCACCGACCCGACAGGUCGAGCAGUCCGGACGCGACCGGGCAAGCCACCCAGUCGUCGGGCGCGGGCCGUGCAGGCCCCGUCUUGUCGCUGCACAGUGCAGAUUCCCAUCUUAUUUUACUCUUUUGUCGCCCCAACCACCGAGGCAGAGGCUUCAAUGCGGCUGACAGGUGCGACAUGUGUGGUGUUUACUCUUUGUGCUCGCCCGCCGCUCGGCGAGCCAGCUCUUAAGCCCCCGGCGGGGUUGAAGCGGGCCGGCCCCAAGCGGUACUUGGACCCCAGUUACUAGGGGUCCGACAUCAGCCCCCAGUGUGGCACGUCAACCAGAGGGGCCCGUGCCCGGCCUGCUCCUGCUUUGGAACUGAUACCAUUGCGUUGGUGAGCCACGCCUCCUUGCCGCUUGGGGCCUUGCUCCGUCGUCUUUAAAUAACCCACCAGGGAGGAGGGCUUCCUCCCGCAGUUUCCACCCGCGCUUUCCUGUUCUGCUCCCCUUUGGCCUCUUCCUUUCCUCCAUCUCCACUUCCAUCCCGGCGGAGCGAUGAGCCCGAAAGGGAAAAGGAACGCGAAAUCCGGGGGUAAAUCCCCUGCCACCGCACAUUAGCACCCGCGCGCAAGGGAGAAGGAGUGGAAAGCGCUCCGUCCCAAGCACGCCUUCUUCCCCCAACAUGGCCACGCUCCCCGUUGGCGUGCAAGCUCUCCAUGCCGACAUGCCUAGGCUUGAUGACAUCUUGUUCCCUCCCGGCCUGCAACGAGCUAGGACCGGUGUCGUGGGUGACGAACCCCGGUGCCGGAGUCGAACUCACCCCAAGGCCAGACAAGCGCCUGGCCCGUGCUGGUAGGGCCACUCCGCCCUCGUGCCCCGCGGGUGCCUCAGAAGGACCACAGCAGGAGGCGGCUGUCGAAGCUUCCCCCACGGGUGGCGCUCCCGUGUUCCGCUUGUCCAUCCCGCGGGGAUCGUGGGGCUCCAAGCGUCCGGCAGGCAGGUUAGUGUCCUUUCCACCGCCUGCUUCUUACCUUCCUUUUUCUUUCGCGCCGACGCCUCUCUUUCUUCUAGCAACGCUUCCCCUCGGCGCAGCGCAAAGCAUGCGCGUGAGGAAGCGCCUCCGGCAGAGGCAACACCCGCGGGGGUGUUCCCCCACACCCCGCCGGUCUCCACGACUGAGCCCUCAACCCCACAGGUCGCAGCAAUGGAGCCUUUGCCAACACCGCGCGUGGGCACGCAGGAGCCCACGCCCCAAGCCGCACAACUCGCCGCCGCUGGUGCAAGCGUGUUGGCGGGCCCUCUUCAUGGGGGCGUCCACCAUGCCACCGUGGUGGCACCACGCGAGGGCGGCACCCCGCUCCCCGAGGCCGACCUCGCGACGGUUUUCGUCGUCGACACCACAAGCUUCGCCAACAUGCGCCGCGCCAUCGACGCCAUCGAGCUGAAUUAGAAGCAGUUCGCGGCUGCGGUUUUUGGGGCGAAGGCAGACUUCGAGAGCACCCAGGCGCGCCAAGAGACCUUGGUCCGUGCGAUCCAGGACGCUGAGGCAUGCCUCGCCGCACUUGGCGCUACGAACAUGACACAUUUCACCUUCUGGUCAAACAGUUUAAACUCCGUCGACUACGAAUAGUUGACCUUCUUCGGUUACGACGACUUGAUACACUUUCGAGUUCUCGUAGUCGAAACACGUUUGACUCCACGUCCUAACAAACAUGCUGUCCUGAUUAGCUGAUUCAGCCUACGAAGUCGAAACCCAUGAACUCCAACCCAGUUGUAUCCCAACUGACAGGUUGGCAUGGGAUAGAGAUGACGGGCGUCAGGCUAACGAAAGGGCCUGCAUACUAGAUAGCAUGUCGAGUUCGGUCAAAUAACAAAACCAUUGCUAAAAUAAUAAAUAAAUAAGCUAAUGCAAUAUUUUAUGAAGUCUCAACACUGUAUGAUUGUUUCCAAUGACUGCAGCUCAAAUCAAUCCAAGCAAGAAGGCCACGAAGAUUUGAGCCUAUGCUCGACUACCAGCAGUCGAACAUAGCCUCGGGGGCUACUCUCACGGGCCGCGCUGGCCACGCACCCUAUACUUCGGAUGCAUCACCCUUCGGGUCUGUCGGCUCCACCACCCUUCGGGUCUGUCGGUUUCGCCAUCCAAGCUUCUGACACGACUUCGCUACCACGUCAACUCCAACUGCACUGCGUCGGCUCCGUCCUUUCAAGCGUCCGACUCAACUCCGCCGUCACGUAAACUUUUUUUUUUUGAGAAUCUCCUGUAACUUUAUUCAAACUCGAAAACCAUUAUAGGUAUAGUGCUUCGGAUCAUAGACACAAGAAACUACAAAGUAACCCCUAUGACUAAGAAUUACAAUGAAAUUUCUCGAAAACAUAUUCUCCGUGGCAUCAAUCUUUGCAACACGAUAUUCUCCAGACUUCAGGAAAAGAACUGCAAUUAGACUGGAGUGGCAACAUCGCCACUCGUAACCCUGCACGAACUUGAUUACCUUCAAAUGUUUCAGAAAGCCCCCUGAGUCGCCCAUCUAAAAAGAUGAGAAGCCGUGAGCAUUGAACGUACUUGGGCUGGGGAUGAUCCCCCAUAGGUCAUCGAACCACAUGAUCUUCACGAAAACGCUAGAGAAAGACCCCAAAGUCACAAAAGAUCAGACCAACAAAAGCAUCAUGACACACUGACAAAAACUCAUCAAAUCCGUAUGAACAGAUCUGUGAGGACAUAAACUGAAAAUCCGCGUGAUCGGACACAUGGAAUUCCUGGUGAUUAAAACUCUCUGGCCCCGUGGCGCAAUAAGGCACCGCCGCAACAGAGGAAGAACCAGAGUACCUUUAUUCUCGACGGCAUUGCACUCUCCGCCGUAGCGUUGCCGAUGAAGAUCACAAGACUUGUAAUAGUAAAAACUUCUGAAAACGCCCAAGAGUACCCGAGAUUCCCCCCACCUCGCAGCGCCAAGAUGGCGUCAUGAGGUGAGGGGAACCAGUGAAUCCGGACGGUGCUCUACCUCAAAACCCUAAGUUUUCUCCGUCUCCUCACCGUCACGUCAACUACGACUACACGAUAUGUGACCCGCGACUUUGAGUCUCAAGGGCUACCGAUGUGGUUAUAACCAAUCGGGUCAUCAUCUUUGGUAUACCCACUAUGGCCCAGCUGGGGGCCCAUGUAGAAGCCUACUACAACUCCAGGGGUCCGGAUGCCUAAUCUUGUGACUUAAGAUAAGGAAACCGACUUAGGGUUUAAAUACAAAUUGUAACCUACCAGGUUUCUGCACCCGAGACCUAGCCUCCUAUAUAAAGGACUAGGAGGGGCACUCUGGAGGACAGAUUCUCUCUCCCUCAAGAUAGAUCCAAUCUCUCAUAGAGACUCCAUCUCAUACACCUCACGCCAGAUGUAAUCUGAGCACCAUAGCCUCCAUGGCAACCUUGUAAUCUCUCCGUUAAUAUUAGAUCAGACAAGCAGGAUGUAGGGGUAUUACCUUUCGAGGGCCCUGAACUUGGGGUAAACUCUUGCCUGCCCUUGCUUGUCAACCGACGGGAUCGCCAACACAUACGCAUGUCACUCUCCCUAAACACAAAGCCCCUCAACAUGGGCAUUGCCGAAGUGGAACUUCGUCACAUACCAUGUGUGUCAUCACUCCUCGAUAAGAAUGCUUACCGGUUCUAGAGCUUGGAUCGCCACGAGAAGGGAUCAAAGGCGUCGAGAGGAAGGCGAGGAAUUGGACACCGUUCAAUCUUGAUAUGACCUACAAAGAAAGGGUGCUAGGAGAAAAGGAGAGACACAAGAGAGAGGGAUCUAGGAAGAACGGAGAUCUACGGGAGAUGGUAGCGACGAUGGAUGGUGCGAUGUCUUUGGGGUGAGGCUGGCAGUGGAAAAACAGAUGGUGUCGAAGUGAGGUAGGGAUUGAAUCAGGAGGAGAAGCACAAAGGCAGUGGAUGCGUCAGGGAAAGAAAGAGAGAACAUGAUGGUGUAGAAAAAUAGAGAAGAUGGCUGAAAUUUAUUGUUUAAAGAUACUUCCUCUGUUUGGGUUUACUAUUUAAAUUUGUGGUAGACUUUGACCAACAAUUAUUCAAUUAUAUUUAGUACAUGUAUAUAAAAGUUAUACCAUUAGAAAGAGUUUUUCAAUACGAAUCCAACAAUAUAUCAUUGAGAUAAAUGCACUCGCGGUCUUAUUAUUAUUGAUUUGGUGCCACUUCGUCCUAAAAAUUAUGAAAUUGCACACUUAGGUCCUAAUUUUAUUUUAAGUGGCUCACGCGAAGUCCUAAGUUGGUUCUGGCGCGUUUGACACGCCUAUGUGGCUCGUUGACCCCAUACACUUGAGCAAGGGCCCCCACAUAUCAUAACCAAUGGCAAUGUAAGGAGAAACCCCUCAUGGAAAAGAAAUGAGGGGAGAAAUAAGAGAGAUGGCCCUUCCGUGAGUUUUUUUUUGCUGAAUCACAUUGCCAUUCGUUAUGGUCUCUGAGCCCCUUGAUGACGUGUACCGGGUUAAGGAGACACGUAGAUGGGUAAAACGGGCCUGAACCAGCUUAGGACCUCGCGUGAGCCACUUAAAAUAUAAUUAGUACCUAAGUGUGCAAUUUCAUAAAUUUAGGAAUAAAGUGACACCAACUCAAUAAUAGUAGCAUCGCAAGUGAAUUUACCUCGUAUAUCUUUUGCGACGCAAUAAUCUCAUAUUACCGACGCAAUUUUGAUCAAAAUUUGGCAUAAAAUUCCGUGGGUCUUGUGAACCCAAACGGAGGGAGUACUUCUCAAUGGUAUAAAUGACAACAUCAUUUUCGUGAGCCAAUUAGAAAGCUUGUCGCACAGAUGAAAACACUACGGCUGAUUGUACUGCAAACACUAGUGCAAGAAUGGAGGAUGGCAAGUUUUUAAACAAACUACUCCCUCAGUUCAGGUUUAUAAGAGCGACGCGAAAUUUUAUGCUAAAUUUUGGUCAAAAAUUACAUUGGUAGUAUGAGAUUAUUGCGGCACAAGAGAUAUAUUGUUGGAUUCAUUUUGAAAAAACUUUUUCUAAUGAUAUACUACUUCCGUUUCAUAAUUCUUGUCGAAAUAUUACAUGUAUCUAGACGUACAUAUAUCCAUUUUUAGGCAAUUUUGCAAUUUUGAGGCAAGAAAUUAUGGAACGGAACGGGUAACUUUUAUAUACAUGUAAGUACUAAAUAUAAUAUAUCCAAGCGAAGGCAGUAAGUGGGACAAAGGUACAUUCUACUCCAUUUAACCGUGAAGAUCCCUACCAAAAAUGACUGCUCUCGCUAACUCAUCGUGCGCCGUUCGUACCCCGGGACGCGGGGGGACCUCCGGGCGUCUUGCUCACAUGGAAUGUACUGUUCACCAGCAGUGUGCGCGAAGCCAUCUGCACCGGCUGCACCGCAUGGGCAUGGACACAAGGUUGCAAAAAGACAAGUCUAUUUGGACAGCGUCUUCUGCCGCGAGCCGUCCAUCCGUCGUUGCAUCCCGUGCGCCGGCGCCAACCCAACUGGCAACUGCACUCGGUCUCACUUCCACGUGGGCGCCCGCCCAUCGGUCUCUCUUCCCUCCACUCCACUCCACAACCCCCUCGUGCCGCUCCCCUUCGCUCCUUCAAGUUAACCAGCACAAACCCCCAUGCCCACCCACUGCUCGACCCAAUUCCCCAACGACUGCUCGCGGCCCCCAUCCCAUGGCCUACCUCCUCGCGCCGCCCGCCUCCUGGCGCGGCGUCCGGCCACCAGCGCCGCCCCGACAGUCGGCCCCACGCCACGGCCUGAUCUCCCGUGCCGCGCGCUCCUCGUGCUACCGCUUCCGGACCGACGACGACGGCGUCGUGGACGUGGCCGUCGCCAGGAAGGAGGGCGAGGGCGGCGGGUACACGGUCAGCGUACAGGUCCCGCUCCUCCCGGGCAGCGCCCGAGGGCGGGAGGGCGGCCGGCUUGUGCUCCGCCCCGCGGACUCCGGCGAGGGCUUCGCGCUGGCGCCAGCCGUGUCGUCCGGCGGCGACGGCGCGUGCCUCGCGGCCGAGCUCUCCUUCGACGCGUCCCGCGCGCCGUUCAACCUCUCCUUCCUGCUGACGGACGGCGAGGGGGCGGAGAUAUGGACCCACCGCAAGACCACCUUCCGCGUGCCGGUCGGUGUCAGGCGCGGCAGCCCCGCGCCGCUCGGUAUGUCCCUGUCGGACGACGGGGCCGCCAACUUCGCCUUGUACAGCAAGACCGCUAAGGGCGUCGUGCUCUGCCUGUAUGACGGCAAGGGCAGCGACGAGCCCGCGCUGGAGAUCGAGCUCGAUCCCUACGUCAACCGGACGGGCAACGUCUGGCACGUGUUGUUGGAUUGCGUGCAGGGAUACAUCAGCUACGGCUUCCGCUGCGGGCUGCUCGGCACGGGCCACCCACUGUUGGACCCGUAUGCCAAGGUGCUCGGUGAUUUCCUCUCUGCUAAUUCUGUUUAUGUGGAGGGGGUCCCCGUGCAGUCCAUGAGUUUCCUCGGAUCAUUGGCGAAUGCACCGAGCUACAAUUGGGGCAGGGACAAACAUCCCUGCUUGCCGUUCGAGAAGCUGGUGGUGUACCGGGCGAAUGUAGCUUUGUUCACCAAGGACAAGUCGGCUGAGCUGCCGGACAAUGUUGCCGGUACUUUCUCCGGGAUGGCUGCAAAGAUAGACCACUUUAGGAGUCUUGGUGUCAAUGCAGUUUUGCUAGAACCAGUGUUCCCUUUCCACAAGGAGAAGGGCCCUUACUUCCCUUACCAUUUCUUUUCACCAAUGAAUUCGUAUAGCAGUGAAGGUUGCAGUGCUUCAGCUAUCACGUCUAUGAAGGAUAUGGUCAAGGCGAUGCACAAAAAUGGAAUAGAGGUCCUCUUGGAGGUUGUUUUUACGCAUACUGCUGAAGGAGAAGCAGAUUGUCAGAUGAUAUCAAUCCGUGGUAUUGACAGUUUCUCUUAUUACAUUGCUGAUGAGAUUGUUGGAUGCAAUGUGGGUAUAUUGAAUUGCAAUUCCCCAGUGACUCAGAAACUGAUUUUGGACAGCCUCCGCCAUUGGGUGCUUGAUUUCCAUGUCGAUGGGUUUUGUUUCAUUAAUGCUCCUUUCCUUCUCAGGGGCCCAUGUGGUGAAUAUUUAUCUCGACCACCUCUUCUUGAAUCUAUAGCUUUUGACCCAGUUCUUUCCAAGACAAAAAUCAUUGCAGAUCCUUGGUCACCACUCGGCAUAUCUAAUGUGCAAUUUCCAUUCCCUCACUGGAAAAGGUGGGCUGAGAUGAACACAAGGUUUUCUAUUGAUGUGCGUAAAUUUUUAAAGGGAGAAGCGCUUAUUAGCGAUCUUGCUACUCGUCUGUGUGGUAGCGGGGACCUAUUUUCCAGUAGGGGCCCAGCCUUUUCUUUCAAUUCCGUGUCCAGGAAUUCAGGACUUACUCUUGUUGAUUUGGUGAGCUUCAGCAAUGAUGAUCUUGCUUCUGAGUCGAGUUGGAAUUGUGGUGAAGAAGGACCGUCUGAGAACAGUGCAGUCCUUCAGACGAGGCUGAGGCAGAUAAGGAAUUUCAUAUUUAUUCUAUUUGUUUCACUUGGUAUUCCUGUUCUGAACAUGGGAGAUGAGUGCGGACACUCCUCUGGUGGUUCCACAUUAUACAUGGAUAGAGUUCCUCUAAACUGGAAGGGCUUGAAGACCACUUUUGUUAAGGAAGUUACUGCAUUCAUUUCAUUUCUAGCUGCUCUCAGGAGUCGGCGAGGUGACAUAUUUCAGAGAAGAGAAUUCCUCAAACUGGAAAAUAUUUAUUGGCACGGGAAAGAUCUAUCUGAGCCAAGAUGGGAGGAUCCUACUAGCAAAUUUCUUUGCAUGCAUGUAAUCGCAGAGAAUGAUGGAAAUAUGCCAGAUUCAACCAAAGGUGACUUGUACAUCUGUUUCAAUGCAAAUGAGGAAUCAAUAAGUGCGACAUUACCUGCUCCUGCAGAAGGAUCCAUGUGGCUAUGCUUGGUUGAUACAUCACUUGCGCUUCCGGGUUUCUUUGCAACUGAGUCUAAUCCUAAAGUGCAACAAGUGCCAGGAUAUUCAUCUUAUGAAGUAAAAGCACACAGUUGUGUUUUAUUUGAAUCGAAGAGGGAUCUCUCCUUGCUUCUGUGAUAAGUCAUAACUCUGUUGACACUCGCUUCCUUCUUUCAAAGACCUCUGGUCCAAAUAAAUUGCUGUGUAAAUAAGAAUUUUUGUGAUAAUAAAAUUUAGCAUUUUCCGAAAUGGAUUCUAUAUCUAAUGUUCAUACUGCCUUCUUGUUACUUGUGGUGUUAAAUGAGCCGUUAUUCUCUUAAACUUUGCUCAAUAUUUUAAGUUGGCCAGUUGAAGCUUGCAGUAGAGCACGCUGGGAAGCCCUCAGCACCUCUAUUGCCACAGCCAUUAAAUCACUUGUGCAAAUAGCUGGAUUGCUAUAAUUGGUUUUAAUGGAAGGUCAAGAAGAGGGAAGUAAGAUAAAGCACGUGUUGCUUCAGAUGGAAGAUAAAGCAGCUCCAUGACGCCUCUCCUUUGCUUCUUGUCAUGCAACCGAGCUUCUUCUUUUCAUUCACCUCCUCUUUUUUUCUUCUUCAUGUGAACCCUUCUCUCCAUAAGCUCCCGCUCAUCUUGCCUUCAUGCCUGUGGUCGUCGCUGCCCUUCUCUCUUUCACUCCUCAUCUUUGUCAAUCCCACACACUGAUGACAGGUGAUCCUGGUAGAAAGAGACAAAACUACUCCAAUUCCUUUCCUUAACUGAUGUAUCGAUCGGUCCGAACUAGGCUUUACCUUUGACUUUGAUGGUUGCCUGGAAUUUUUUCUGGUGAGGUUAAGCAUGCUUGUUUGCUUCGAAUUGUCAUGGAGAACUCCUUAAUAGCGUCCAGAAUCAGUAAGUGAUUAAAGACUCUGAAGCUACUCUGGAAGUUGCUUAUGUUAACCUGCUAUUUUUCCAAGUGCCACUAACAUUAGCUCUUAACCUACAAGGUUUAUAAAUUUGUAUUGUAAUAUCUCUAUGCAAUAUUCUGCAUUCUCCUCCAAAUAUAUAAAUGGUAUCGAGAAUAUACUACCCUGAAAGUACAAAGUUAGCUUAUGAAGUUUCAAUAAUGUAUAGGUGACAGUCACAUGUUUACUACGAUAGAACCUGAUUUUAUUUUCUUGAUGUGGCAUGAGAUAGCUAAGCAUGAUAUGUUUAAUCAUAUUCACGAGAUCCUGUUUGAAAUGACAUAUCUGUGUUAUAUAGGAAUACUUGGAUAAAGUAAGUCCUAUGAGGUUAGCAAGCCCUGAAUUUGAUUCUUAUUUUGUACAUUGUACCGCUAUCCGUAUGUAAUCAUCGAACAAUGAGUUACUCCUUUUAUGUGAUGCAAUUACUAUUCCUGAAAUAUAUUUAUGCCGCCUUGAUUUAGCAGACUGCAAGUUGACAUUGGUCCCCACUUCUGUUGCAGAUAAAGGCUCUGAUUGCAGGUGGUAUAAUUGUUGGGUUGGAUGAGGACUUUCCGAAGGUGCCGUGGAUCUUUUCAGGCUCUGUAGUGUCGUAAGGCUUGUUGAUUUUCUGCACUACACCGUACCUGACUAUGGAUCCUUGGGAAUACAAGGUUCAGUCCUCCAUUCCUCCGUAUCAUUCAUAACCAUUUUUAUAUUUCUUGUUUUGUUAGACAUACUGAUGUUAGGUUUAUCUCACUUGUAAAAAUAAUACUCCCUCCGUCCAACAAAGGAUGUCUCAACUUGAACUAAAUUUGAAUGCAUCUAUACACUAAGUCACAUGUAGAUACAUCCAGAUUUUAACAAACUUGAGACAUCUUUUGUUGGACGGAGGGAGUAAUAUUACUAGUAGCUUUGUGCCUUUAUAUUAUCAACUUAUGGAAGUUCCUUCA
RNA transcript from Brachypodium distachyon (stiff brome), 12061 nucleotides. It is a transcript of the gene named isoamylase 2, chloroplastic, with no coding region annotated. The transcript has 2 exons. NCBI's taxonomy places the organism in Eukaryota, Viridiplantae, Streptophyta, Magnoliopsida, Poales, Poaceae. The record is from RefSeq and is a predicted model, not a curated record.